RNAcentral lists this small RNA (283 nucleotides) under Pongo abelii (Sumatran orangutan). Its description in RNAcentral is "processed transcript". The record is from RNAcentral. Lineage: Eukaryota; Metazoa; Chordata; Mammalia; Primates; Hominidae.
CUGGGAAGACAAAGAUAAUAAGACACAGUCCCUGCUGUGAGGAAGCUCAUGCACUAUUGAAGAAGAGAUUCACAAAAACAAAGAAUCACAAUGUAGACAAAUUCAGUAACCACCAGGCAUAAAUUCACCAGGAACAACCAAGCAAGGAAGGAAGGAGAAGAAGCUGAUGCAACAAGUGGGCCCCAGUAUGGACAAAGGCACUGACGAGGUGACCAGGCCACGUGGAGGAGAGUCAAGGAAAAACUCUUGGGACAACGAAGUCUUUGCCACCAUCUCAGGACCU